AUUGAACGCUGGCGGCAGGCCUAACACAUGCAAGUCGAGCGCGCGGCGGACGGGUGAGUAAUGUCUGGGAAACUGCCUGAUGGAGGGGGAUAACUACUGGAAACGGUAGCUAAUACCGCAUACCAUCAGAUGUGCCCAGAUGGGUUUAGCUAGUGGGUGGGGUAACGGCUCAACUAGGCGACGCUCCCUAGCUGGUCUGAGCGGAUGACCAGCCACACUGGAACUGAGACACGGUCCAGACUCCUACGGGGGGCAGCAGUGGGGAAUAUGUCACAAUGGGCGCAAGCCUGAUGCAGCCAUUCCGCGUGUGUGAAGAAGGCCUUCGGGUUGUAAAGCUCUUUCAGCGGGGAGGCGUUACCCGCAGAAGAAGCACCGGCUAACUCCGUGCCAGCAGCCGCGGUAAUUC
Molecule: ribosomal RNA, 406 nt
Filed under: uncultured bacterium
Lineage: Bacteria
Description: partial 16S ribosomal RNA
Rfam family: Bacterial small subunit ribosomal RNA
Source: RNAcentral